Molecule: ribosomal RNA, 1183 nt
Filed under: Salmonella enterica subsp. enterica serovar Agona str. SA-2
Lineage: Bacteria; Pseudomonadati; Pseudomonadota; Gammaproteobacteria; Enterobacterales; Enterobacteriaceae
Description: bacterial LSU rRNA
Rfam family: Bacterial large subunit ribosomal RNA
Source: RNAcentral
GGUUAAGCGACUAAGCGUACACGGUGGAUGCCCUGGCAGUCAGAGGCGAUGAAGGGCGUGCUAAUCUGCGAUAAGCGCCGGUAAGGUGAUAUGAACCGUUAUAACCGGCGAUACCCGAAUGGGGAAACCCAGUGUGACUCGUCACACUAUCAUUAACUGAAUCCAUAGGUUAAUGAGGCGAACCGGGGGAACUGAAACAUCUAAGUACCCCGAGGAAAAGAAAUCAACCGAGAUUCCCCCAGUAGCGGCGAGCGAACGGGGAGGAGCCCAGAGCCUGAAUCAGCAUGUGUGUUAGUGGAAGCGUCUGGAAAGGCGCGCGAUACAGGGUGACAGCCCCGUACACAAAAGCGCAUGUGCUGUGAGCUCGAUGAGUAGGGCGGGACACGUGGUAUCCUGUCUGAAUAUGGGGGGACCAUCCUCCAAGGCUAAAUACUCCUGACUGACCGAUAGUGAACCAGUACCGUGAGGGAAAGGCGAAAAGAACCCCGGCGAGGGGAGUGAAAAAGAACCUGAAACCGUGUACGUACAAGCAGUGGGAGCCCCACCACCAAAGCAUUCUCUGGUGUUGAAGGCCCUGCAAAGCAGCAUCGCGGUGGCGGAGCGUCGUUUGCGACGCCCAACACACAAAACAAGCGGUGAGUGCUUUGGGGUGGGGUGACUGCGUACCUUUUGUAUAAUGGGUCAGCGACUUAUAUUCUGUAGCAAGGUUAACCGAAUAGGGGAGCCGGAGGGAAACCGAGUCUUAAUUGGGCGUUAAGUUGCAGGGUAUAGACCCGAAACCCGGUGAUCUAGCCAUGGGCAGGUUGAAGGUUGGGUAACACUAACUGGAGGACCGAACCGACUAAUGUUGAAAAAUUAGCGGAUGACCUGUGGCUGGGGGUGAAAGGCCAAUCAAACCGGGAGAUAGCUGGUUCUCCCCGAAAGCUAUUUAGGUAGCGCCUCGUGAAUUCAUCUCCGGGGGUAGAGCACUGUUUCGGCUAGGGGGCCAUCCCGGCUUACCAACCCGAUGCAAACUGCGAAUACCGGAGAAUGUUAUCACGGGAGACACACGGCGGGUGCUAACGUCCGUCGUGAAGAGGGAAACAACCCAGACCGCCAGCUAAGGUCCCAAAGUCAAUGGUUAAGUGGGAAACGAUGUGGGAAGGCCCAGACAGCCAGGAUGUUGGCUUAGAAGCAGCCAUCA